GCCAGUGUGGCAUAGUGGUUUGAGUGUUGGACUAGGAUUCUGGAGACGAGGAUUCGAAUUCCAGUUCAGCCA
Molecule: transfer RNA, 72 nt
Filed under: Phrynosoma platyrhinos (Desert horned lizard)
Lineage: Eukaryota; Metazoa; Chordata; Lepidosauria; Squamata; Phrynosomatidae
Description: tRNA-OTHER
Source: RNAcentral